GUGCCAGCAGCCGCGGGUAAGACGGAGGGGGCAAGCGUUGUCCGGACUCACUGGGCGUAAAGAGCACGUAGGCGGCAGGAUGCGUCGGCGCUGAAAGCCCGMGGCUUAACCGGGGCGAGGUGCGUCGAUACGAUCCCGCUCGAGGCAGUUAGAGGUUAGCGGAAUUCCGGGUGUAGUUGUGAAAUGCGUAGAUAUCCGGAGGAACAUCUGUGGCGAAGGCGGCUAACUGGGACUGACCUGACGCUGAGGUGCGAAAGCGUGGGGAGCGAACCGGAUUAGAUACCCGGGUAGUCCACGCCGUAAACGAUGUCGGCUCGGUGUUUGGGGAUGAGUACCAUUCCUGAGUGCCUCAGUAUACACGGUAAGCCCGACCCGCCUGGGGACUACGAGCGCAAGCUUAAAACUCAAAGGAAUUGACGGGGGCCCGCACAAGCAGCGGAGCGUGUGGUUUAAUUCGACGCAACACGAAGAACCUUACCCAGGUUUGACAUGCUUCUGCAAGCCCACGGAGACGUGGGACCUUAGAGGGUGAAGCACAGGUGCUGCAUGGCUGUCGUCAGCUCGUGUCGUGAGAUGUUGGGUUAAGUCCCGCAACGAGCGCAACCCUCGCUGCCAGUUACCAGUGUCUGGCGGGACAGCCGUCUAGAGAGACGGAGGAAGGCGGGGAUGACGUCAAGUCCGCAUGGCCCUUACGCCUGGGGCGACACACACGCUACAAUGGCCGGGACAGUGCGCUGCGACCUCGCAAGAGAGAGCUAAUCGCCAAACCCGGUCUCAGUGCAGAUCGGGGGCUGCAACUCGCCCCCGUGAAGAUGGAGUUGCUAGUAACCGCGUAUCAGCCAUGGCGCGGUGAAUACGUGCCCGGGCCUUAUACUCACCGCCCGUCAAGGC
This 891-nucleotide ribosomal RNA is filed under the name uncultured Chloroflexota bacterium. Its description in RNAcentral is "bacterial SSU rRNA". It matches the Rfam family "Bacterial small subunit ribosomal RNA", at positions 505 to 1403 of the family's 1533-position model. Lineage: Bacteria; Bacillati; Chloroflexota. The record is from RNAcentral.